UGGAAGAUGCUUAUCAAUAACUAUAUACAGUUCUUAUUCCAUUCACACAUUUUUCUUGCCUCCUGAUCAUGGUAUUGUAAAGGGGACUAAAGAGACAGGUUCUAGGAAAAAAAGUAAUAGAGCUAUAGGAAAUAAAGUAACUCAUUUAGGUAUGACUAUGGACAAGGCAAAGGUUUCAGAGAGAAAUUGGGGAAUAAAGCAAUUUUUCUCAAUCUAAUUACUUCAGAAUCAUCAGUAUGAGAAAACAUUGAUACCUACUACUACAUACUGAUCCACUUGCUUCUCUUCAUGGAAGAGUACCAUUAGUCCUCUGUCCACAUGGAACGAACAUAAUGGCCAUCUAACAUCAAAUAAUGUCUUCUUGAAACUGAAACAUAGAAAGGCAAGUUUGAGGUAGAAACAGAAUCACCCAUCUUAUCACAAAAAAAUUAAGAAACAAAGAAAACGUCCAACAAGAGAAACUUGCAACCCAUCCUAAAAAUCCUAGAAUCUGAAUGACAUCAGAUUCAGCACAAGGCAAAGUAUGUAUCUUAAUCUUAUUGAACCAAAGAGAGUAAAACAAUAAAAUUGGGAAUAUUAUAUACAUAAAAAAUAUAAUUGUCGAAGACCACCGGUGCCAUUCUCAUCAGCAUCGACCAAUUUUGCGAAAGUAAAAAACAUCAAACAUGGGAACCGUACCGAUACACGAAGAACAUCAGACACAUGACUACCAUACAUUAUAUAAAAAAUUAAGUUAUUUUAAUUACUGAGAAACCAUGCAUCUAUUGCCAACAAAAUUGGGGCUUCUCAUGUACAUCAGACCAACAAGUGCAGCUGCAAUUUUAGAAGUAUUUUGGUUUGACUAAAGCAAACGCUAGUCCUCGCACAAGACCCAUUCCAGCCUCAUGCUUCAACCUAACACACCUUGUAUUCCAGCCUCAUGCUUCAACCUAACACACCUUGUACGUAAUACAUCAAGGCCCCAUCACAAAAUAGAAAUGAAUAUAUACGCUAGUAAGACCAGAAAUUAACAAAAUACAGGGAGCUUAAUCAUAUUGUCUUACAUGCAUCAGGAUGUAAGAUGCGGUGACCUUGGCGCCACAACCAUGGAGACAGCCAGUCUGGACAUGAUGGUGGCAGGGGUUCAGCAGCGAGAAAAGGAGGAGAGUCUGAAAAGUAAGCACAAUUACUGAUCAUUUUUACAAUUGCUGAUUUAGAUUCCGAUUCAUACUCUAAAAUAGGAGGGCUAAAAUUCUGUAUUCAACCGCUAUAAAUAAACUACACAAGAUGAUAGUGAGACUGUGCGUAGAGAGCUAAAUGUGCAAGAUCGACAUCUUUGCUAGUAAAAGACUUAGCAUUUUCUUCUUGCAGAAAGUACAUCUCUAUUUUUGGACAAAAGAAUGCAACACAUACAAAGAAUGGAAAAUCGCCAUCGAACAAAAGCCAUGUUCCACCAUUCAAGUAUCUGAACAAACAAGCAUGGGAUUGGUAGCAGUAGUGAAUAGUAUGCAUAGAUGUGUAGGCAAGUAACAAACAUUAGUGAAAGGGAAAUAGAUUAUCCAAAAGAAGAAAGGUUUUAUAUUUUUUCAACGUACCCAGCCAUAAAAUCAUAUGCUUCUUGAUUAACAAAAUGAAAACACAAUUAAGUAGGCAUAGGAGGUGCACAAUCAUGUAC
Molecule: long non-coding RNA, 1654 nt
Filed under: Triticum aestivum (bread wheat)
Lineage: Eukaryota; Viridiplantae; Streptophyta; Magnoliopsida; Poales; Poaceae
Description: long non-coding RNA (TAES_LNC005283)
Source: RNAcentral